GACGAACGCUGGCGGCGUGCUUAACACAUGCUAGUCGAACGGAAAGGCCCAGCUUGCUGGGUACUCGAGUGGCGAACGGGUGAGUAACACGUGGGUGAUCUGCCCUGCACUCUGGGAUAAGCCGGGGAAACUGGGUCUAAUAACGGAUAUGAUCAACUGUCGCAUGGUGGUGGGGGGAAAGUUGUUGAGGAUUGGGAUGGGCCCGCGGCCUAUCCGCUUGUUGGUGGGGGAAUGGCCUACCAAGGCGACGACGGGUAGCCGACCUGAGAGGGGGAUCGGCCACACUGGGACUGCGACACGGCCCAGACUCCUACGGGAGGCAGCAGUGGGGAAUAUUGCACAAUGGGCGCAAGCCUGAUGCAGCGACGCCGCGUGAGGGAUGACGGCCUUCGGGUCGUAAACCUCUUUCACCAGGGACGAAGCGUGAGUGACGGUACCUGGAGAAGAAGCACCGGCCAACUACGUGCCAGCCGCCGCAGUAA
Molecule: ribosomal RNA, 482 nt
Filed under: uncultured bacterium
Lineage: Bacteria
Description: partial 16S ribosomal RNA
Rfam family: Bacterial small subunit ribosomal RNA
Source: RNAcentral